CAUGGAAUAGAAUUUAGCAGGAUUAAUGAAAGUGAACAGUGGAUUACCAGGAGGAGCAGCAGAGAGGUGAGAGAAUACACACCUCCAAAUGUAGAUGGAAGCAGACAACCCAAACCAGGAUGUAUCUAAUUUGCACCUCACUCAAUUCACUCAGUGGCCCGGUAUUCAAGAAAGCUUCCUCUUUUUGCCAUUAGUGAUGAAGAUAAGAAAACCAAUGAACGUACAAAACUGAGAUUUCUAAGGAAUACAGGUGCUGUCUAACAAGAGCAAGGGAAAAACCACUGGUGUCUCAGCUCUGCUGCUAUAAGGUCUUCAACAAGCUAAAUAUUGCUAUUUGCUAUUCAGCUCACCCAUGCAAUCAGUUGCUUUGCUUUUCUACAAUUCAUGAGCAUAGACUCGCAGGGAUCUCAAACAGUAUUUCAGACCUACACUAUAAUCAGCAGAGGAAACAUAUUUAUUACUGCUUUUAUAAUUGCUUUAAUUCCUUUAUAGUUAGAUCUCAAUUUUAAUUAUGAAUAAUUGCACUGACAGGGUCAGCAAUGACUCCUGAUUUCCAAAAAUCAAUGGUUCAACUUGAAGGAAGGAACUCACCCCUUUGUCCUUGGGAAGACACUGCAUCAAACUACAUUUGCUGGUCCAGAUUCUGAGUUAAACACUGUACUCAGUAGAACUACAUCAGUGUAUUGGAGCUGAAGCUGUAAUCACAAGACGUUCUUAAGUGAAGCCCUAAGGCUUCAGGUUGGCCACUUGUUCUAUCAAUCAGGAGAGGUUAUCUUGUGUGGUGGUCGUGGUCUGCAUCUGGUUAACAGAGACACUGAUGCUGACAAUAAUGACCCUAACUAUAAUAAUUUCCACUUUAGUAAUCUCAAUAGUAGUAUUUAAAAUGAGGAUAAAGUUUUAUUUAUCACAAAUGGAUGCCCCACUGAUUAUGCAAAUGAAUCUUCUUGGAACUGAGGUUGUAAUGCCUUCUGAGCUAUCUAGUUAUUCCACCUUAGCCCUUGUUCCUUCAGUAUCAUUGGAAAUGAAUGGGAUUCAUCCAACAGAUAUGAGACCCACAGGUGAUUUUUCCAGCCUUGAAAUCUCACUGCUCUUCUAUACAAAUGCAUAACCAUAGCAAAGGCACUGGAACAUUUGUGGAUGUCAUCUAUUUAAAUUUUUGUUAAAGCUUAGCCAUGCUACUUAAGCUUGCAUACUAUUUUAAACAUAUUAACCCAAAACAGUUUACUUUCUUAUAAGCACACAACAUAGAUGCAUACUUUCUCUGUUUAAUAGAGAGCCUAUUCAACUUAUUGUAAGAUCAAUCCACAAAGCUAGGGUUUUUAUCUACUAAUUUUCAUCCCAUUUUUAUGUAUUUUACUACAUUUUUUUAAAAUACUAAUUAACUUCUUAGACUUCAUACUUUUCCUUCUGUAUUCAGAGCAGUAGAAAUCCCCAGUCUCUCUUCCUGUAAUCUGGAUUUAUUUAAAUCGUUGGUUGCUAUUUUUCAUUUCUCAAUCCAAUUGUUCCAAUGACUGUCACACUCCUUUUAUCUUCCACUAUCAUUCUGGAAUCAGCCUUAUCGUCAGCAUUAUCAUUGCCAGUAAUGAUUACAUCUCUUCUUCAAACAGUACUGCUGAUAAAAGACAUUCCAGUAGAACAGAAACAGCUGUAAACUGGUUCUGAAUAUCUUCUUUCGUUCUCUGCUUCCUUAAGGGUACUGUUCUUACUUCUGUUUUGUAC
Molecule: long non-coding RNA, 1719 nt
Organism: Lagopus muta (rock ptarmigan)
Lineage: Eukaryota; Metazoa; Chordata; Aves; Galliformes; Phasianidae
Exons: 3
Source: RefSeq, a predicted model, not a curated record